This 471-nucleotide ribosomal RNA is filed under the name uncultured bacterium. RNAcentral's name for it is "bacterial SSU rRNA". It matches the Rfam family "Bacterial small subunit ribosomal RNA", at positions 8 to 526 of the family's 1533-position model. The record is from RNAcentral.
AGGGUUCGAUUCUGGCUCAGGAUGAACGCUGGCGGCGUGCUUAACACAUGCAAGUCGAACGAACCUUCGGGUUAGUGGCGGACGGGUGAGUAACGCGUGAGAAUCUGCCCUCAGGAGGGGGAUAACGGUUGGAAACGACCGCUAAUACCCCAUAUGCCUACUGGUGAAAUGAAUUUCGCCUGAGGAUGAGCUCGCGUCUGAUUAGCUAGUUGGUGAGGUAAUGGCUCACCAAGGCUUCGAUCAGUAGCUGGUCUGAGAGGAUGAUCAGCCACACUGGGACUGAGACACGGCCCAGACUCCUACGGGAGGCAGCAGUGGGGAAUUUUCCGCAAUGGGCGAAAGCCUGACGGAGCAACGCCGCGUGAGGGACGAAGGCCUCUGGGCUGUAAACCUCUUUUCUCAAGGAAGAAGAUAUGACGGUACUUGAGGAAUAAGCCACGGCUAAUUCCGUGCCAGCCGCCGCGGUAAUAC